CCUACGGGAGGCAGCAGUGAGGAAUAUUGGUCAAUGGGCGCGAGCCUGAACCAGCCAAGUAGCGUGAAGGAUGACUGCCCUACGGGUUGUAAACUUCUUUUAUAAAGGAAUAAAGUGAGGCACGUGUGCCUUUUUGUAUGUACUUUAUGAAUAAGGAUCGGCUAACUCCGUGCCAGCAGCCGCGGUAAUACGGAGGAUCCGAGCGUUAUCCGGAUUUAUUGGGUUUAAAGGGUGUGUAGGCGGUAUUUUAAGUUAGUGGUAAAACGUCGGGGCUUCACCUUGAUUGGCCAUUAAAACUGGAGUACUAGAGUACAGACGAGGUAGGCGGAAUAAGUUAAGUAGCGGUGAAAUGCUUAGAUAUCACGAAGAACCCCGAUUGCGAAGGCAGCUUACUAAACUGUGACUGACAUUGAUGCUCGAAAGUGUGGGUAUCAAACAGGAUUAGAUACCCUUGUAGUC
This 459-nucleotide ribosomal RNA is filed under the name uncultured bacterium. RNAcentral's name for it is "partial 16S ribosomal RNA". It matches the Rfam family "Bacterial small subunit ribosomal RNA", at positions 338 to 795 of the family's 1533-position model. The record is from RNAcentral.